RNAcentral lists this ribosomal RNA (1236 nucleotides) under metagenome. RNAcentral describes it as "bacterial LSU rRNA". It matches the Rfam family "Bacterial large subunit ribosomal RNA", at positions 1569 to 2815 of the family's 2925-position model. The record is from RNAcentral.
ACGAGAUGCUACGGCGUCGAAGCAGUCUAUGUCAUACUUCCAAGAAAAGCUUGCACUGUCAUAAACAAAUAAUGCCUGUACCAUAACCGACACAGGUGGGUAGGUAGAGUAUACUAAGGGGCGCGAGAUAACUCUCUCUAAGGAACUCGGCAAAAUGACUCCGUAACUUCGGGAGAAGGAGUGCCUUAUUUAUAAGGUUGCAAUAACAAGAUCCAAGCAACUGUUUACCAAAAACACAGGUCUCCGCUAAGUCGUAAGACGAUGUAUGGGGGCUGACGCCUGCCCAGUGCCAGAAGGUUAAAGAAGUUGGUUAGCAUCCGCGAAGCUGAUAACUGAAGCCCUGGUGAACGGCGGCCGUAACAAUAACGGUCCUAAGGUAGCGAAAUUCCUUGUCGGGUAAGUUCCGACCCGCACGAAAGGCGUAAUGAUUUGGAUACUGUCUCGGAGAGGGGCUCGGUGAAAUAGACUUGUCUGUGAAGAUGCGGACUACCUGCACCAGGACAGAAAGACCCUAUGAAGCUUUACUGUAACCUGAAAUUGAAAUUGGACUUUACUUGCGCAGUAUAGGUGGGAGGCGUUGAGAAUAUUCUUGCGGGAUUAUUGGAGCCAUCAGUGAGAUACCACUCUUGUAAUGUUAGAUUUCUAACUUUGUAUCAUUAUCUGGUCAAAGAACAGUUUCAGGCGGGCAGUUUGACUGGGGCGGUCGCCUCCUAAACGGUAACGGAGGCGCACAAAGGUUUCCUCUGAACGGGUAGAAAUCGUAUCUAGAGUGUAAAGGCAUAAGGAAGCUUGACUGUGAGACCUACAAGUCGAGCGGGGACGAAAGUCGGUCUUAGUGAUCUGACGGUGCUGAGUGGAAAGGCCGUCACUCAACGGAUAAAAGUUACUCUAGGAUAACAGGCUGAUCUCCCCCAAGAGUUCACAUCGACGGGGAGGUUUGGCACCUCGAUGUCGGCUCAUCGCAUCCUGGGGCGGUAGUACGUCCCAAGGGUUGGGCUGUUCGCCCAUGAAAGCGGUACGCGAGCUGGGUUCAGAACGUCGUGAGACAGUUCGGUCCAUAUCCGGUGUAGGCGUUAGAAUAUUGAGAGGAGCCUUCUUUAGUACGAGAGGACCGAGAAGGACAUACCUCUGGUGUACCAGUUAUCGUGCCAACGGUAAACGCUGGGUAGCUAUGUGUGGAGUGGAUAACCGCUGAAAGCAUCUAAGUGGGAAGCCCACCUCAAGAUAAGUAUUCUC